This 338-nucleotide ribosomal RNA is filed under the name uncultured bacterium. Its description in RNAcentral is "partial 16S ribosomal RNA". It matches the Rfam family "Bacterial small subunit ribosomal RNA", at positions 338 to 675 of the family's 1533-position model. The record is from RNAcentral.
CCUACGGGAGGCAGCAGUGGGGAAUAUUGCACAAUGGGGGAAACCCUGAUGCAGCGACGCCGCGUGAGUGAAGAAGUAAUUCGUUACGUAAAGCUCUAUCAGCAGGGAAGAAACACUGACCUUACGUUCAGCAGACGGUACCUGAGUAAGAAGCCCCGGCUAACUACUUGCCAGCAGCCGCGGUACGACGUAGGGGGCAAGCGUUAUCCGGAUUUACUGGGUGUAAAGGGUGCGUAGGCGGUGCGCCGAGUCUGGAGUGAAAUGCCGCAGCUUAACUGCGGAACUGGUUUGGAAACUGGCGAACCAGAGUGCGGGAGGGGUAAGCGGAAUUCCUAGUG